This 1627-nucleotide long non-coding RNA is filed under the name Capsicum annuum. Its description in RNAcentral is "long non-coding RNA (CANN_LNC008449)". The record is from RNAcentral. Lineage: Eukaryota; Viridiplantae; Streptophyta; Magnoliopsida; Solanales; Solanaceae.
GCAAUAAAUAUGGAUCAAUAGAUCUCGUCGGGUACAUUUCAAGCGACACAAAGCUUACUUUUUCCUUGUACAUCUCUACCUAUAAGAGUAAGAAAUUUCCUUAAACUAGCAUACUAUCAUUUCUCCAUUGUAUCUAAUGAAAGGGAGAAGUUCCAGUGGCCAAGUUGAAUCAUCAGUAGAUAUGAUCAAAUGUGCAGGACUUACAAGAAAAAGAAAAAUCCAGUGACAUAUAGAUUCUUGUUCACCGUUUUGUGAUUAUUUGUACAACCCAUAGGGUUUUUACCACUUGAGGUCCCCUAAGAGGAUUUUAAUUCAAACUUAAAAGGAAAAGAAAAACAAUAAGUUUCACAAUUAAUAAGGAAGUAACAAAGAUUUACACAUCAAUAAAAGAAAUAGUAUAACAUAGUUUUUCAUGAAUAAAAGAAGCUUAUGAGUGAUUUUUUCCCAAUAUAUACUCAAUUCCAACUAUUAGCAAAGUCCAUAUGUUGCACAGUAUAAUGAUGCAUCAACAAUUUUUCAGCCAAAAAAAAACUAAUCUCCCAAAAAGUGAUUCACACAUAAGUUAUAUUUUUUUCUUUCCGGUUAAAACACCAAUAGAAACAUCAGAUCAUCACACAACAUAUAUGAAAUUAUUUCUCUUUGCCCUUUUAUAAAACGAAUGUACAAAGUGCUUCUCCACCUUUCCAAUUGCUUUUAGCUUCUACAUAAAUCUAUUUUUUCAUUAGUCUAAUUUGAUCAAACACAAUAAUAUUGAAAUGAUGACAUUAAUAUAAGCUGUGAAUAGUAUAGGAAGUAGCCUAAAACCAGCAAGGAUGAAUGUCCCUUUAUACUUCUAGAGACAAACAAUUCCAAGAUUACCAAGGCAAUCCAAGUUGUCUGGGGAAAUGUCCAAUAAAGUUGAGAAGACUGAUAUAGCACUCUAUAGAAACCAUAAGCGUCAAAAGAUAACCAGAGAAAGUUCCAAGUAUGUCAAUGAGUAUGAACCAAUGUAUUAAAAUUAUUGUACCUACAAAUGACCAGUUCUAAGAAGUAUGAUGCCAUGAGCCUUCCAAAUAGACACCUGACUAAAAUCAGAUUUCACAGCCUCUUAAGGUUUAGCAAAAAUAUUUUCAAGCUCUUCAGGGUCUAAUUCCUCAUCUGAACUUAAAGAAACAAAGCACUCGCUAUACGAAUGGUUGAAUCAAUAACUUAGAAGAAUACACUAACCUUAAAAUCACCAAAUUAAAGCAGAAAACCCCAAAUUUGCUCGAAAAUUGAAGUGCGAAUUGAGAGCUGAAAUUGAAGUGAUUGUCAGAGCAAUGAAGAAGCUGAUUUUUGGUCGGAGCACUGGUGGUCGGAGCACGCACUGGUGGUCGAUUGGUGGUGAUUGUGGUCAGAGUGUACUGGGGGUGUGUGGUCAGAGUGUACUGGUGGUGUGUGGUUGGAGCUACUAGUAGUGUGUGGUCGGAGUUACUGGUGGUGUGUGGUGUGUAGAUGGAGCAUACUGGUGGUGUAUGGUGAUGAAGAUCUUAAUGCAGGUGGUGGAGACCUCAUUGACAAGGGAAGAGGAGGCAGAGCAUCGUGUUAUUUUACCAGAAAAGACUGCAAAAUGCUAUGGGAAAUUUUCAACAGUAAUGGAAAAUUUUUA